This 4051-nucleotide small RNA is filed under the name Pongo abelii (Sumatran orangutan). RNAcentral describes it as "retained intron". The record is from RNAcentral. Lineage: Eukaryota; Metazoa; Chordata; Mammalia; Primates; Hominidae.
UGAUUUACCAGUGUUUUUAACUUCCUGCUGGGCUGAAAACUGCUUGUUUUGUGGAAAAGCAAAACUUGACAGCAAACAUCUAAAAUGAAGAGCUCCCAAACUUUUGAGGAACAAACGGAAUGCAUUGUGAACACUCUACUCAUGGACUUCUUGAGCCCAACAUUGCGGGUUGCCAACCGGAACCUAUGCUGUGAAGAUGAAGUAGAUUCAGGCAGGAGCUAUACUCCAGAACACAGUGGAAUCUCUCAGCAAGACCUGGUGUGCUCAGGAUUCCAGCUUAGCUUAUGAGAGAGCUUUUCUGGCAGUGUCAGUGAAACUUCUUGAGUAUAUGGCUCACAUUGCUCCUGAAGUAGUGGGACAGGUGGCUAUCCCCAUGACGGGUAUGAUCAAUGGGAACCAAGCCAUCCGGGAGUUCAUCCAGGGCGAGGGAGGUUGGGUAAGUGUGUUGGGGCUCCUGGUUUUGCUAGGUAUUUGCACUGUUUUUGUACUAAUACCUGGGAUUCCAAUUCAUGACCCUUUUUGUAAAUUGGAAACCAACAGGAAAACAGGCUUCCCUAUUUUGCUGAAAAUGCCUAGAUUUUCUUGCCAUGGAAAAAUGGAGCAGACAGAAGCUCAGCCUGUGGAUGUUGGACUCCAGAGUCAUGCUACCUUAAAUAUUGACUGCUGACUACUGGAAAGCUAAUCUUCAUUUCCUACACAUAAUCAUGUAUAAAGUAUAUUCAUAGUAGAGUUCUAAUUUCAGCCUGGCUUCACUCUGUUCCUUUGUAAAUUUCUGGGUCUUUUUUUCCUAACAUCUUUAUGUGUGUGUUAGGGAAGUCAGAAUCACCUUAAUAGUAUCUAAGAAAAAACAGUCUUUGCUGUAGUGGUAACUAUAGAAGGUAUUCUAAGCCCAUGUUUUAGUAAUCAUCAGAACUUAUGCUGUCAUAGAGCACUCCUUUCCAUUUACAGGGUCAGUGAAAGCCUUAAUAAGAGCUAAAUUUCCUGGAGCUAUCUGCAGAUCAUUUCCUGGUUUCUUAGGAAGUUCCUGAAAGCAAUUCCUUUGACUGUAGGAUUUUCUCUGUCUUUCCUAGGAAAAUCUGGAGAGCUGAAGAGGUGGAGCUAUUCACAAGACUGAACACUUCCUUGUUGACUGAUUGGGUGAUUGAUUCCUGGGAAUUCAAACAAACAAAUAAAAAAAAACUUUUUUCAUUUUAUCAGAACUGAACUUAGCUGAAUAAGUUAUUUUUUACUGAUUGUUAAAGUUGGGAGCAGCUGCCAGAGGCCUACAGAGUUGGUUUUUGUUUUGUUUUGUUUUGUUUUGUCAACUUAAUGCAAACCACAGAGAUUUUCUACUUUCUGUUUUCACAUGAGUUUUAAUGAGGUUCUGUUGAAGCAAAGACCCCUAGACAUGAAGUAAUGACUUGUUAGUAGUGGAAUUAUAAGCAAUAGGGCAGGCCUUUGCUGGAGGUAUUUUGAGAGAAAGGGAGAACAAUGGAAACUAUUUCUUCAGAUGUAGCCCUGUCUUUUGGUAAGAAUUGUGCCUACUAAUUUUGCAAUUUAAAGGAUUUCAGGAAGCUUUUUGGUUGAAAAAUCUUUUUUUUUUUUUAGAUGGAGUCUCACUCUGUCGCCCAGGCUGGAGUGCAGUGGUGCGAUCUCAGCUCACUGCAAGCUCCACCUCCCGGUUUCACUCCAUUCUCCUGCCUCAGCCUCCUGAGUAGCUGGGACUACAGGCGCCUGCCACCAUGCCCGGCUAAUUUUUUGUAUUUUUAGUAGAGACGGGGUUUCACCGUGUUAGCCAGGAUGGUCUGGAUCUCCUGACCUCGUGAUUCACCCGCCUUGGCCUCCCAAAGUGCUGGGAUUACAGGCAUGAGCCACCUUGCCCAGCCUAAAAUCUUGUUAUUUUAGGUUGAGCAUUUUCAUUCAAAAUCAUCCCUAAACUUCAUGUUAAUUUCACCUGAGAAGGACUGUUUCAUGCAUUUUAGAGGUUGGAAGCAAAAAGCAAACAAACAAACAAAAACAGUUGUUUCUACUAGGAAGGUCGAAGAAAAUAAAAGUUACUCCAUUAUUACUGCCACAGGAUGCAGGAAGUGCUGGCCCACAUCUAGGACAGCAAGGCCACCCCAGCUUAGAUGAAGCUAGCUGCAUAGCACAAAGCUUUAAAAGUGUGGUUCACACACCACUUGUGGACCUUAUUAAAUUGCUGAUUUGCAUUCCUAGAGAUUCUGAUUCUGUAGGGGUAGGCUGGAGCCUAGGAACCUACCUUUUAAACUAGUUCCAUAGGUGAUUCUGAUGUACAUAAAGAAUGUGACAGCCAUCACUAUAGAGAAUAGAUUGACAAAUUACAACCCACACGUCAAAUCUGGCUUGCUGUCUUAUUUUGUAAAUAAAGUUUUAUUGGAAUAGAGCAACAUUCACUUGUUUACAUAUUGUCCAUGGCCGCUUUUGUGCUACAAUGGCAGAGUUGAAUGAUUAUAGAAGACCAUAUGGCUGGUUAAGUCCAAAAUAUUUACUAGCUGGCCCUUUACAGAAAAAGUUGGCUGACCCCUUCUCUAAAUCAACAUUUCUCCUUGGUAACUGAAACUCUGUUACAGUCCUGACAAUUCCAGCAAACACAGCUGUAGAUAGGGUUUAAACUCAAAGAUAUUUAACUCUUCUUUGGGAACUUAGUCUCCAUAUGUUUGUUAGUUCUUGCAUAAUCCACAGUUUCUCUGGGUCUUCAGCCAAUCAGAGAGCUCUGUAGCUCCUGAGUAGUCCAUUUCUCUUGCCCUACAAGGGAGAGUGAUUGGAAGCAAAGCUUAUGAUUUGUAUGAUCUUGUAUCUCAAAAUAGUCCUUAAUGAUCUAAUAGAUUAGUAGGCAGUCAUCAGGUAGAGACUCCAAAAACCAGACUACUUUCCUGAAUAUGAAGAAGAAAGGCAUUGCUACAGUGAUUCAUGAAAAGCAGCAUUAAUAACUUUGGCUAAAGUUUAACAAAGCUAACCACUUCCCCUCUAUCAGCCAGCCAUCUAUGUAUCUCCUCUAAAUGCAGAGAAGUAAAUAUGUAGUCCUGUUAAUAUUUAUUUUUGCUUUUUAAAGUUAUGCUUUGGCCUGGUGCGGUGGCGUAUGCCUGUAAUCCCAGCACUUUGGGAGGCUGAGGCAGGUGGAUCACCUGAGGUUAGGAGUUUGAGACCAGCCUGGCCAACAUGGUGAAACCCUGUCUCUACUAAAAAUACAAAAAAUUAGCCAGGCUUGGUGGCACGUGCCUGUAAUGCCAGCUACUCAGGAGGCUGAGGCAGGAGAAUCACUUGAACCUGGGAGGCAGAGGUUGCAGUGAGCUGAGAUCGCGCCAUUGCACUCCAGCCUGGGCUACAAAAGCGAAACUGUCUCAAAAAAAUAAAGAAAGAAAGAAAAUAAAUAAAGUUAUGCUUUUUCCUCUAUUCCUAGUUAAAUCACAACAGGUUAGUAAUCCAUAAAUGAUGUGUCCUGUUUCUCUUUAGUAGAAAUUAUAUUUUUGGCUACCAGUUAAGAAACUUGUACUCCUUUGUCCCUUAUGUUACUAUAAACUCAAGAUGAUGAGUUUUGUGGUAUUUGACUUCAUAGGCAAAAUCAAAAUUUUUACUUUGUUGCUAUUCUGUUUUAUGAAAUAAACUUCUGUCUAUGCAUUUGAACUAAGUUUCAGCAAAUUCAAUCUAAAUUGAAUAAUUUCAGCUCCCUGUUUUAUCCUAUGUUGCUCGUAAAACAGUUCCAAGUAUACUGCAUUAUCUUGAGAUUUGAAGAUAUGGUGCCCACGGGGAUUAUACUAGGCAAAUGCGUUAAGCAGCUCCGGCCUAGGUGUUGUGUAUUUUAGGACACUCUAUCUUAGGAGAGCUUAAGCAAUUGGGCUGCAGGAAGAAGACAUUGUAACCCAGGAAUUAAAAAUGGAUUCAGAUUGCCUGAUUUUAACACUUUAGUUUCACCAUAGGCUAAUUAUGUGACACUGGGCAAGAGACAUAAUUUUUCUGUACCUUAGUUUCUACAUUUGUAAAAUAGAGAUAAUUUGGUAACUUAUUAAUAAGAUUUUUGUGAGAGAUAAAUAAAACAAAUACACUUUGUAAA